CUUANNNUCCGACAGGGUACAAAUAUCUAAAUUUGAUAUUUUUAGAUACUCCUACUGGUGCAACACCAAGUGCAGCUCCUGUACAGAAUACUUCAUUUGCACUAAUCACAUGUAAGACUAUAAUGCAAGUCAAACAAAUUCAGACACAAAUUAUAAUUCAAUGUAUUAACUAUACCCAAUACAUUAUCCCUUCUCUUUUGUUAAAAUGUAUGGAAGUAAGACAAUAAUUUAGGUUAAUAGACGGUAAAGUAUGUUACAAUCAAGAAUUUAAAGAGAAUUUAAAAAAAAUAUUUCUUUUAAUAAAUUGUAAUGCACGGAUGUGUUAAUUUCUACUUUUUCUAUUCUAAUAAUUUGUAUUACGCACAUGUGCUAAAACAUUUUUUACUUUUGCAUUUUCCAGACCAGCUUGUUGUCUCGGUCUCAAGGCAAAUACGCUCUGCUUCCUAAGAGCACGACAAGUCAACAACUAUUAGGGACCUAAUAUAGUUGAUAGAAUUGCAGCAACAAGAAGAAAGUUAAUCAAUUGUAUAGAUUUUGAAUCAAACCGAAUAGAUUUUGUUCAAUUUUACUUUAGUCUUUAAACAAUUUUUUUUUAAUGUUAAAUCAAAAAUGUAUAAGCUCCUUGGGCCCGGGCACCGCCCGGGCUACCGCCAACUAGUUUAACUUAUGCAUGCGGAUAGCCUAAAGAUUUUUACACUGUCUAUAUAUUUUAACAUGUU
This 719-nucleotide long non-coding RNA is filed under the name Nicotiana tabacum (common tobacco). RNAcentral describes it as "long non-coding RNA (NTAB_LNC012730)". The record is from RNAcentral. Lineage: Eukaryota; Viridiplantae; Streptophyta; Magnoliopsida; Solanales; Solanaceae.